Non-coding RNA from Podarcis lilfordi (Lilford's wall lizard), 5537 nucleotides. The record is from the annotation of a GenBank genome assembly. Lineage: Eukaryota; Metazoa; Chordata; Lepidosauria; Squamata; Lacertidae.
CUUCAGUUGCUCCAGGGUGGGGCACCCUUUUUUUCUCCUGGGACGUACCUCUUCUUGGGUGACAGGCAGGGUCCCCAGCAAAUAUAUUACUACGGGUUGGGGCUUCUCCUAAGCUCCCAGGCUCUCUGUGCUUAGAUAAUAGGCAGCAAGCUCCUGGCACUGCUUGCAUCCGAGCUUUUAUGACAGUUUGAUUUUUCCCUCCAGUGACUUAUUUUUCUUGUGGGACAGAAAACAGGAAUUUACCGUAAAUGCCCUGUUCUGGUAAGAGUUACAGAGGGUAUCUGAAGGAGGGGAAUAAGGGGACAGGGCUUCUUGAAACUUGACUCCGCUCUGCAGGGGAAGGUCUCCACAAUUCACAGGCCAUACUGGAACAAGGAGGGACUCCUCCUGAAAUGGAAAGGAAACACUCUGCUGGGCAGCCAGCAUGGCUAAACUCUGGAAAACAUCCUGGUAACAGGCCCCACACCCAAAAGGUAAGAAAAUUGGAAAUGAAAGGUAGAAGGCAGUCCCAGGAAGCCCUAACUACGUCCUUUCUGUGGUAUUUAUAUGUGCAAAAGCUGCCCCAGGUCAUUUGACCCUUUAAAAAACAUAGUUCUCUUUUUCUGUCCUGGAAAAGGCUGCACAAGAAUCUCUGUUUAGAGUUUAAACAUAACACGUUACUGUACUUUGAAUACUAAAACAUUUACAUGUGUGUGUAUAUAUAUAUAUGAGACUGACAGACUUAUGAGACUUUACAGACGACUUCUGAGGCACAUAGCAGCAUAAAACAGACUCCUGCUGCUCUCACAGUAAGACUCACUAACUAAUAUUCUGCAUUGGAUAGCAGACCUAACUGAAAAACUGCCUACUGGGGUGACAUCAUCGGAUUAUAUACUAUAUUAACUCUUUCCAUAGCAUUUUGCAUGCACCGCUCCCACACUUUCCAUGGAGCCUGUAGUUCAUGAGCUGAUAUGCACAGAAACAGAGGUGGCUUCAAUGUCUUGGCACUCUCUGAAACGGGACAUGCCCCAGCUAGAAUAUUCCUGCGUUCUCUGGAAGAGUAAGGUGUAUUUUUUUUAAAAAAAAGAUCCUUCAGGAUAUGGAAAAAUAUUGCAUACUAGGGAUGGGUACUGCACGUCCUAUGGUUUCCGAACCCUGUGAAGGAACCUCCUCCCAAAGGCCGCAUUUGCUGAGGCCAAGACAUGUGCUUUGUAAUGCCGUAUGAAUGUGUAGCUGCUUUGAAAGUCUCAUCCAAUGGGGCUCUACCACACUCUUUCCUUUAGGAGAGAAAACUUUUGCAACUCCUUUCCUAGGUGGCCGUACACCCAAACUCACUUUAUUUUCGUGAGCAGGUUUAAAUUGAAAUGGGCUGAGGACAGCUGCCCCAUAAAACACCUCUGGACAUUUAUUGAUGGUUUCCUGUGUGCUACUGACUUAGGAAGAUAAUAGAAAUGUUUCACAAAAUGUCCUGAAGAUUUCUUCUGACCCUUUGGCAUGUAACACUUUCCCAAUAGUUCACUUAUGUUUCUUGUUCCUCUGUUAGUUUUAUAUUACUCCGCAUUUUGUCGAUAUGUGUAUGAUGGAUUUUUUUUUUGAUGGUUUCACAACGUGGAGUUCUUUCCAGAUGGGGAAAGAUUUAGUAUAAUGGGGCUUUUUUGGUCUUCUUUUUGUUAUGGUCAAAUUGAGGCUAUAUUUUUUGAACAACUGUGUAACUAUCCCUUUCUAAAAUGUCAACAGUCUUUUGUUUUGGCAGUACUUUCUUCUAUUCCAUUCAUUUUCAACUAGGGCAAUGCUUUCAAAAGGUGAGGCAAACAACUGCUUCGGUUUCCCUCCCCCUUCCAGUGAUGAAUUGGUUUUAAGAUUUGUCAAAAAGGCAUUUCAGGAGACCUAUGGGGUAAACAAAGUAAGUACAGGAUAGUGAUGCACAAACUUGCUGGAAAUUCAUCAGCAUUUUAGUGUGAACCUCUCCUAAUAUAGACAGUUUUGCAUGCAUUUUAGCUUAAUAUAGACAUACUUGUAAAACAGUAUCCCUUAAUAGAAUAUAUUUAGUAUGUUGUUUUUACUAAUGUGUGCAUUUUUAGGCACACUUUAUCCUAGUGCAUGCUUUUUUGCAUACAUUGCCCCACUGGAGAAUUGUAUUGCAAAAUUCAGAGAAGUGUGACUUUCAAAGAACAGUUGCGUUUUGGAAAGUGCAAAUUGGUAGAUUGGCCUUUAAAUGUGAACUGAAAUUGAAUCUCUGUUCCAUCCCCGCUACAGAGUGAAAGAAACUAGGACAAAGGUGAAACAUAUAGACUGAAAUUCUGCGGGAGGCAGAUUGAAGUUACGGUCUCAUAGGGAGUGCUGUCAGGACAGGACUUUAGGGCUAAUGUUUGGGAUUCCCACCCUGUAGAAUGAGCAGGAAGAUCCCAAAUGCAGCAGGGCAAGAUGAUUUUGAUUUAAUUUUGAAUACACAAUACCAUCGGGAGAGGGUUGUAUUAUAAGGUCUUUUGAAGUUAGCUCAGUAAUAAUAUACACUACCUUGACCUAGUUCAGCAUGACACAGCGGGGGGGGGGGAUACACAAGCACAUUGUAAGGCAUAUUGGUCUAAACCAACAUGGAUUCAUGAAGACACAACCAUGGCUAUAGGUUUGCUUCUUUUUACCCCAUUCCCUUUGUGUGGGAUCCAAUCCAGCAAGGAAGGAUAUCCUGCACAGAGAGCUUUUUGCAUGUGGGUUAUCCUUACUAGUCAAGGUACCAGUCCAUAGAAUGACAGAUUUUCAUUGUAAAUUCUCGUUGGAUAAAAUACAGUUCAUCUACCUGUAUGCAAAUUUAAGUGAUCGCGUGAUUGUGGAUUGUAACACUUUGAAUUGCAAGUGGGGUGUGUGCCAUAUUUUUGAUUGCCCAGCCAUAGUAAACCUGAAAGUACAGUGGUGCCUCGCAAGACGAAAUUAAUCUGUUCCGUGAGUCUCUUCGUCUUGCGGUUUCUUUGUCUUGCGAAGCACGGCUAUUAGCGGCUUAGCGGCUUAGUGGCUAUUAACGGCUUAGCGGCUUAGCGGCUAUUAACGGCUUAGCGGCUUAGCGGCUUUAAGAAAAAGGAAACAAACUCGCAAGAACUCGCAAGACGUUUCGUCUUGCGAAGCAAGCCCAUAGGGAAAUUCGUCUUGCGGAACGACUCAAAAAACGCAAAACCCUUUCGUCUAGCGAGUUUUUCAUCUUGCGAGGCAUUCGUCUUGCGGGGCACCACUGUAGUAAACUAUCAGGGAGAGGGCUAGUGUCUACAUACAGGGAGGUGUUUUUUGGUUUUGCAUUGCAAAAUAAUCAGUGUUAUGAUCUCCCACCUGUAGUUUGAAAUGGUAGAGCCCAGAAUGUUCCAUCUAAUUUUGUAAAUGGUGUAAAUCUGGAAUAGAGAGAAAAAUGAGUGCAUAUACUCUUGGUUUAUUUUACAGUGUUUUAUUUGUGGCCAUUCAAGGACUGGUUACAGCUUGAGUAAUCAGCUCUGAUCACCACUCUUUAGGGAACAAUCCUAACUCCCAUCUGCCCAGUGGCAGAUCUGUAGGGAAUGUGGAAGGUAUCUCUGCAUCAGGAGUUUGACAUUUCGUGUCAGCCAAGGCAGAAGGUGUGUCUGUGUGUGUGUGUGUGUGUGAGAGAGAGAGAGGUAGGGUUUUCAUAAAAUCAUAGAAUGGUAGAGUUGGAAGAGACCCUGAGGGUCAUCUAGUUCAACCCCCAGCAACAUUGGAAUCUCAACUAAAGCAUCUAUGACAGAUACCCCGCCUUUUGCUAUGCCUGCUCCAGGCUGGUGCAGAACAGAGGCCCAGAUUGGGACCACUGCCAUUAGCUGGGCCAGCUUUAGGAUCCAGUCUAACUCUGCCCCUUCCCACCCCAGAGAUGACUGUUUUGGAUAUUUCUGCUGGCUACUUUCAGUGGGCCUAGCAAGGACUUUCACAGAGCCCACUGACCAAUGUAGCUGAACAGAGCCAGACAAAAAAGGUCACUUCUGUUGCAUCCAAACCCUGUACAGCAUGCAGAUUAGGGUUUUGGGUUGCUGUGUUAUAUGCUUACUCUGUAUCUGCUUUCACCUUUUGGCCCCUCUAAAUCAAGGUGUGCUUUUGUGUCAGAGCUCAAGGUGUCUGCAGUUAAUCUCUUCUUCAAUGGCAGCUAUGAACAGAUUUUUCAGGUGUAAUUAUAAUGUGAAGAAGGCCUAUUGAUUAAAGGUCAAUAAUUAUCUGAGCAGGAAAGUAAUCCUCUGCAAAUCUCAGACCUGUUUCAGAGACAUUUUGUAUUAUAAAUCUGCUACUUAAACAGAGGAAAAGGAGACAGUAACUCCUUUCCUAAAUGACUUGAGAAAAAGAUUUUGGAGGCAGAGAAACAUGAAAAAUAAAUUCAAUAAAACCCAAGCAAUAUUCUUCCCCCAAACAGUAUGGAAAACUUAUUUUCUGAAAAAUAUGGCAAAACAAAAACUUCAUUAACGUGGUUGGUCUGACCCCCCCCCCAACAAAUUGUUACCUUUCAUUAACCCAGUGUUCAAUUCCUGGUCGUUAACAUAUGAUUAAUGAUUAGAUGAACACUGUUUUAUAGUUUACAUACGAGGUCCCAUGACACUGCCUCUUCUAUUCGUACUCUUUUUACUCCUAUUCCAAAUAAUGUUCUAAAUCUUCUCUCUUGUUCACACACAUACCUGGAGUUUUGACUCCAGAGCUCUUAGCACCCUGGCUGUCUGUUCCAUUGCAUUUCAAGCAUUUUGUAAGCUACUUUGAGAACUUCGGUUAGUAGACAAGGUAUAUAAAUAUUUUAAAUAAGCAAAUUCUAUGCAGCACAGUACUGUCAUAAAUUACUGUAGAUGCAAACUUAAUGGGUAUACAGACUUUCAUGUAUUUUUGUGUUCUGUGUACGGUUAAAUAGUUCUUAUAUAUUAAGAGAAGGAACAGAUGCUGGAGAAAGGCAUCUGCUUUAACCCAUUUUCAUUGCUACAUUAUUUGCUUUCUAAUAACAGACUUGUUGCUAGUGGGUUCUGAAUAUAUCUCCAGUACUGAAACUUAAGGCCAUUUUUUACCUCUUUGGUGUCAGAGAACUGGACUUUCUGACAAGCAGCGAAAGAACAGGCACAGAGGAAGAGGUGGGGAGAAGCAGUUAGCCACAGGAAUUCAACCUUUGUACACACACAGAGAGACGGAGAGACACAGAGAGCAGGAAUUCAGCUGCAAGGCUCAGAUAGUGGCCCAGACACAGAAAUAGAGAGAGUGCAAUCACCCUGAUUGCGUAGACUCAGGAGAUUAGCCGAGAAGCGCGAAAAUUACAGGAAGAGGAGGUGAGGGUUUUCCUGUUGGGGGAGAAGGGGGCGGAGCUCAGUCCAGGCAACCGUGGCAUCGGUGGAAGAAAGACUGAAUUAGCGGAGCUCCAACCGGGGCUUUUUGUUGAACCAAUAAAUCUUAAUUAAUUAACUGCCAGAGUCGUCUCGUGUGUGUGUGGGAGAGACCCAGGCCUUACAUUUGGCUUCACCACACCUCUCCUCUGCUACAUCAGUAAGGAGGAGAUUGGAAGCUUUCGCUUCCAUUUGCAAUUAUAAUUAUUGAACCUGGAC